GCUGGGCAUGGUGGCGUGUGCCUGUAAUCCCAGCUACUCGGGAGGCUGAGGGAGGAGAAUCGCUUGAACCCAGGAAGCAGGGGUUGCAGUGAGCUGAGAUUACGCCACUGCACUCCAACCUGGGUGACAAGAGCGAGAUUCCAUCUCAA
This 149-nucleotide non-coding RNA is filed under the name Homo sapiens (human). Lineage: Eukaryota; Metazoa; Chordata; Mammalia; Primates; Hominidae. The record is from Rfam by way of RNAcentral.